AUGCCUCCCAAGGCUCCCAUCACUUGCAACUGGAUGAAAUCCAACGUCACCGAAGAGACCCUGGCCAACUUUGUUAAGUCCGGAUAUCUGCCCAAGAAGGAAGUGAUGUCCUACCGUGCCCCUGACCCGUCCGAAGAAAGACCUCAGCCGAGGGACGGGGAGGUAGUGAUCUUUGCAGACCAUAUGAGCCGGGGCUUCGCACCGCCCGGCUCAAAAUUCUUCUGGAACGUGCUCAACUUCUUUGACCUUCGGCCUCAGGAUAUAGGACCCAAUUCCAUAUCCAACAUCUGCAACUUCCAAGUUUUUUGUGAAGUAUAUCUUGGAGAAGAGCCGAGUCUGCUGCUCUUCAGAGAGCUGUUUUAUUUGAACCGCCAAACCGAGUGCGCAAACGGUCCAAGUCUAGAGUUAGGCGGCAUCUCCAUCCAACGGCGCAGGGACUGUCUAUUUCCUUACGCAGAACCGCCAAGUCACCCCAAGGACUGGAACAUGACUUGGUUCUACUGCCAAGACACGUCCCCGGCUGAUGAGAGCCCGCUGCCCGGCUUUCGCCCAACGCGCCUGGAGCCGACUCAUCCGCUAUCCGACAAGCUGACUGCCGCGGAAUGCCAGCCUCUGCUUCCAACGAUCAAUAAGAUCAAGGCCCUGCUAGGCAACGGUCUGAACGGAAUAGACCUGGUCCGGGUCUGGAUCUCAUGGCGGGUGAUCCCAUUGAGCCGCCGCCCCGGCUUAAUGUGUGAGUACACCGGGCGAAAGGAUGACCCGCAGAGGCAUAGUCGCAACGACCUUCCAGAAGACGUUGCCGAAGAAGAGACCAAGGCUCUAUUAAACGAGAGCCUGGCAGACUGUGGAAAAACCAGGCUAGCCCCGUUCUGCAAGACCAAUCCAGCCCCAGCGGUAAGCCACUGA
RNAcentral lists this ribosomal RNA (906 nucleotides) under Triticum aestivum (bread wheat). RNAcentral's name for it is "partial small subunit ribosomal RNA". Lineage: Eukaryota; Viridiplantae; Streptophyta; Magnoliopsida; Poales; Poaceae. The record is from RNAcentral.